This 73-nucleotide transfer RNA is filed under the name Ovis aries (sheep). It matches the Rfam family "tRNA". Rfam says of the family: Transfer RNA (tRNA) molecules are approximately 80 nucleotides in length. Their secondary structure includes four short double-helical elements and three loops (D, anti-codon, and T loops). Lineage: Eukaryota; Metazoa; Chordata; Mammalia; Artiodactyla; Bovidae. The record is from Rfam by way of RNAcentral.
UCCCUGGUGGUCCAGUGGCUAGGAUGCCGUGUUUCCAAUGCAGGGGGCCUGGGUUUGAUCCCCGGUCAGGGAA